ACAUGUGUUUGAUGCCUAAGACUGUUCAUGGAUUACUUCUUUUUAUUCACAGCAACUGUGAUAGAUCCUGCCUCCCUCAUGUUUUUCCAGAAUAGACAACUGAAGUGUAGAGAGGUCAAGCAAUUUCUUGCCCUGAUAUAACUGUUUCAGAGGACAGAUACACAAUGGAUAUAAAAAUAGGAGCUGUGAGACAAUCCAAGGUAGAGAGCCCUCCAUCUCCUCACCAACAACCUCACCAGCCA
Molecule: long non-coding RNA, 242 nt
Organism: Fukomys damarensis (Damara mole-rat)
Lineage: Eukaryota; Metazoa; Chordata; Mammalia; Rodentia; Bathyergidae
Exons: 3
Source: RefSeq, a predicted model, not a curated record